Molecule: ribosomal RNA, 447 nt
Filed under: uncultured bacterium
Lineage: Bacteria
Description: bacterial SSU rRNA
Rfam family: Bacterial small subunit ribosomal RNA
Source: RNAcentral
CCCCAGACUCCUACGGGAGGCAGCAGUGGGGAAUAUUGCACAAUGGGGGAAACCCUGAUGCAGCGACGCCGCGUGAGCGAUGAAGUAUUUCGGUAUGUAAAGCUCUAUCAGCAGGGAAGAAAAUGACGGUACCUGACUAAGAAGCCCCGGCUAACUACGUGCCAGCAGCCGCGGUAAUACGUAGGGGGCAAGCGUUAUCCGGAUUUACUGGGUGUAAAGGGAGCGUAGACGGCAAUGCAAGCCAGAUGUGAAAGCCCGGGGCUCAACCCCGGGACUGCAUUUGGAACUGUGUAGCUGGAGUGUCGGAGAGGCAGGCGGAAUUCCUAGUGUAGCGGUGAAAUGCGUAGAUAUUAGGAGGAACACCAGUGGCGAAGGCGGCCUGCUGGACGAUGACUGACGUUGAGGCUCGAAAGCGUGGGGAGCAAACAGGAUUAGAUACCCGAGUAU